RNAcentral lists this ribosomal RNA (253 nucleotides) under uncultured bacterium. RNAcentral's name for it is "partial 16S ribosomal RNA". It matches the Rfam family "Bacterial small subunit ribosomal RNA", at positions 524 to 776 of the family's 1533-position model. The record is from RNAcentral.
UACAGAGGGUGCAAGCGUUAAUCGGAAUUACUGGGCGUAAAGCGCGCGUAGGCGGCUGUCUAAGUCGGGUGUGAAAGCCCCGGGCUCAACCUGGGAACUGCAUUCGAUACUGGACGGCUAGAGUAUGAGAGAGGGAGGUAGAAUUCCACGUGUAGCGGUGAAAUGCGCAGAUAUCAGGAGGAACACCGAUGGCGAAGGCAGGUCUCUGGGCAUUAACUGGCGCUGAGGAGCGAAAGCAUGGGGAGCGAACAGG